RNAcentral lists this long non-coding RNA (288 nucleotides) under Olea europaea (common olive). RNAcentral's name for it is "long non-coding RNA (OEUR_LNC000562)". The record is from RNAcentral. Lineage: Eukaryota; Viridiplantae; Streptophyta; Magnoliopsida; Lamiales; Oleaceae.
AUAUUAGCCUGAGGACGCUGCUUGUUAUCCCUCCGAGGCUGACGGCAGUCUGCCGAUCGAUGCCCAAUUUUGUCACAAUUGAAGCAUUUUCCGUUGAACUGGAACUUGGGUUUCUUUCCUACUCCACCGGUAGGCUUCAUCUGAGACCCUUUCUUGGUCUGCUUUUUAUCUUUCCAAUUUUCGUUUCCCUGUUUGGCUUUAAAAGAAUGACCUUUCUUGGUACCAGAACUCUGGCCGUGCUCUAGGACAUUGGCCUUCUCAGAGUAAGAAUUCCCUGACUUACGUUCA